Small nucleolar RNA from Passer montanus (Eurasian tree sparrow), 84 nucleotides. RefSeq annotates it as small nucleolar RNA SNORD100. The record is from RefSeq and is a predicted model, not a curated record. NCBI's taxonomy places the organism in Eukaryota, Metazoa, Chordata, Aves, Passeriformes, Passeridae. The transcript has a single exon.
UGUACUGAUGAUGAUACUUUGGCUCCCUCUGCUGAUGCCUGUGAGGAAAGCAGCCAUCCGUUACCCAAAGCUUCUGAUGGUACA